GCUGGGAGGCGCCGUGCUGAUCCUGGGCGCGUACUUACAGGCUUGGUAACUUUGCACGUGCCACCCACGCAUCCUCGUUAUAAGAAGGGGCGAAUUGCAGUGUGAGCGGAGCAGGCGUGGGUGAUCUCGAUAAGAGGGUCUUCAGCGCAUGCAACUUUCACUCGCAGUGAAAGAACGACAGCCGUUGUCCCCAUGGGAAAUGCCUCUUUUGAAUAUCGUGUUAUUAGGGAAGGCGGAGUGCAACAAAGUGCAGAGAGCCGCGGCGCGUCUAGAAAGGGUUAACCGUAGAAAGGCGCCUAAAAUGCCAGGAGCUGCAGAAGCGCCGCUGUGGGCCAGUCGCUUUCGCCUUCUAUUCCCUUCUUCAAACCCUGCUACAAAAUGAGCCAAGUGCGCGUACAUAUUACUCGUGUUAUUUAUUAAGAUCAGUGUUGUUGUUGCUGUUUAAGAAACAGCGCGCGCACCCCACUUGGUUGACUGCCCCCUGGGCUCCCCUCUCCCUUCUGCGGGCACCUCGCAGGCUUCUUCUUCUUCCGCGGCGGAAUGUCAGGGCAGCGCUGCACUUGAGAGCCCCCGGACAGGCGUGACGGGAUCGCCUUCUCUUUUAGAUCGCCUUUCUGCGAUCUGGGUAGCAACACCGGCCCGCUUUCGAGAGAGGCGGGCGGCGAGAAGCCAGUCCCCUGCCGUCAAGGCUACUGGGCGGCAUUCUGCCCUUGAGCGCCGCGCAGAAAAGGUAAAACCGCGAUAAAUGGUGCCGAGCGCCGCGACAGUCCAGUCACAAAGCCAUUGUUUGGCCAAGCCCGUCUUUUAAGUGAUAUUCACAGACGACAACAACAAAAAAUGUCAUAAGCUAAAUAUAACCCCGCCUUCUUCUACAGCGGCCUCUCUCUUCAGGCAAAAGCUAUCAAAGCCACAACCAUUUGCAGAAGACAUAUUUAAACCGAAAAGGGGGGAAAUCAGAGAAAAGUUGGGGCACAGGCAGUUGAAAUGACUAUCUUAUGGUCACGCAGUGGCAGUAGUGGGAUCUGGACUCGCAACCUCAGGGGUCUGAAGUCCAAAGCCCUAACAACUCCACUACACCUCUCAAGGACAAUGACUAUAAACAGAUCAAAUGUGAGCACAAGGAGAACAUGGCAACAGGUUAA
Molecule: long non-coding RNA, 1142 nt
Organism: Polypterus senegalus (gray bichir)
Lineage: Eukaryota; Metazoa; Chordata; Cladistia; Polypteriformes; Polypteridae
Exons: 3
Source: RefSeq, a predicted model, not a curated record